Molecule: ribosomal RNA, 460 nt
Filed under: uncultured bacterium
Lineage: Bacteria
Description: partial 16S ribosomal RNA
Rfam family: Bacterial small subunit ribosomal RNA
Source: RNAcentral
CCUACGGGGGGCAGCAGUGAGGAAUAUUGGUCAAUGGGCUUACGCCUGAACCAGCCAAGUCGCGUGAGGGAAGACUGCCCUAUGGGUUGUAAACCUCUUUUGUCAGGGAGCAACGCCGGCUACGUGUAGCCGGACUGAGAGUAUCUGAAGAAAAAGCAUCGGCUAACUCCGUGCCAGCAGCCGCGGUAAUACGGAGGAUGCGAGCGUUAUCCGGAUUUAUUGGGUUUAAAGGGUGCGUAGGCGGAAUGCCAAGUCAGCGGUAAAAUCGCGGGGCUCAACCUCGCUCCGCCGUUGAAACUGGCGGGCUGGAGUUGGAGAGAAGUACGCGGAAUGCGCGGUGUAGCGGUGAAAUGCUUAGAUAUCGCGCAGAACCCCGAUUGCGAAGGCAGCGUACCGGCUCCACACUGACGCUGAGGCACGAAAGCGUGGGUAUCGAACAGGAUUAGAUACCCGAGUAGUC